This 253-nucleotide ribosomal RNA is filed under the name uncultured bacterium. Its description in RNAcentral is "partial 16S ribosomal RNA". It matches the Rfam family "Bacterial small subunit ribosomal RNA", at positions 524 to 776 of the family's 1533-position model. The record is from RNAcentral.
GACGAACCGAGCAAACGUUAUUCGGAAUCACUGGGCUUAAAGGGCGCGUAGGCGGGUCAGCAAGUCAGGGGUGAAAGCCCCCAGCUCAACUGGGGAAGUGCCUUUGAUACUGUUGAUCUCGAGGGAGGUAGGGGCGUGCGGAACUUCCGGUGGAGCGGUGAAAUGCGUAGAUAUCGGAAGGAACACCGGUGGCGAAAGCGGCGCGCUGGACCUCUUCUGACGCUGAGGCGCGAAAGCCAGGGGAGCAAACGGG